RNAcentral lists this long non-coding RNA (393 nucleotides) under Cricetulus griseus (Chinese hamster). RNAcentral describes it as "lncRNA (ENSCGRG00015033639.1)". Lineage: Eukaryota; Metazoa; Chordata; Mammalia; Rodentia; Cricetidae. The record is from RNAcentral.
CUCACCGACGCCCAACUCACAAAGAAGCUCUCCAAAGCCCUUGGGUGAGCUGGGUUCUGAUGUGUUCCCGGAGGAGAGGGAGUGAGAAGGCUGGAGAGAUGGCUGUGGUUAUUAAGAACACCUUGCAGAGGACCAAGUUCAGUUCCUGACACCAAUGUCUGGCAAUUCACAACCACAAGGAACUCCAGCUCCAGGGAAACUGGUCUUCAUGGGAAUUUGCACUCACAGGCAUAUACCUGCCCUACACACAUGAACACAACUGAAGCUGGGUGAGCUGCAAAACUGGAACUUUGUCAGCAGAGAGCCGGUUUGGAGGAGGCGAGAAGGGAAGAAAGGUCAGGAGAGCGUGGUUGAACCUGUACAGAGCCUGUGCAGACUCCUGCUCGGAGCGAG